This 30-nucleotide transfer RNA is filed under the name Oreina liturata. RNAcentral describes it as "partial tRNA-Leu". Lineage: Eukaryota; Metazoa; Arthropoda; Insecta; Coleoptera; Chrysomelidae. The record is from RNAcentral.
CCAAAAAUAAAGAUUAAGCUUUUUUUAGAA